This 889-nucleotide ribosomal RNA is filed under the name uncultured bacterium. RNAcentral describes it as "bacterial SSU rRNA". It matches the Rfam family "Bacterial small subunit ribosomal RNA", at positions 496 to 1397 of the family's 1533-position model. The record is from RNAcentral.
GCUAACUACGUGCCAGCAGCCGCGGUCAUACGUAGGGUCCAAGCAUUAUCCGGAUUGACUGGGUGUAAAGAGUUGCGUAGGUGGAUAGUUAAGUAGGUAGUGAAAUCUGGUGGCUCAACCAUUCAGACUAUUACGUAAACUGAUUGUCUCGAGAGCGUUAGGGGUAGCUGGAAUUUCUAGUGUAGGAGUGAAAUCCGUAGAUAUUAGAAAGAACACCGAUAGCGUAGGCAGGCUACUGGGACGUUUCUGACACUAAGGCACGAAAGCGUAGGGAGCAAACGGGAUUAGAUACCCCGGUAGUCUACGCUGUAAACGAUGGAUACUAGCAGUUUUGGGUAUCGACCCCCGGAGUUGCGAAGCUAACGCGUUAAGUAUCCCACCUGUGUAGUACGAUCGCAAGAUUAAAACAUAAAGGAAUUGACGGGGACCCGCACAAGCGGUGGAGCGUGAUCUUUAAUUCGAUGGUAAACGAUAAACCUUACCAAGGCUUGACAUCCGAGGAAGGCCUCCGAAAGGAGACUGUGCCUUCGGGAACCUCGAGACAGGUGAUGCAUGGCCGUCGUCAGCUCGUGUCGUGAGAUGUUUGGUUAAGUCCAUCAACGAGCGCAACCCUUGCAACCAGUUGGAUUUUUCUGGUAGGACUGCCCCGGUAACGGGGAGGAAGGAGGGGAUGAUGUCAGGUCAGUAUUUCCCUUACGCCUUGGGCUAGAAUCGCGCUACAAUGGCCGGUACAAUGCGAAGCGAAGCAGUGAUGUGAAGCAAAUCGCACCAAAGCCGGUCCCAGUUCGGACUGGAGGCUGAAACUCGCCUCCACGAAGUCGGAAUCGCUAGUAAUCGCAGAUCAGCAUGUUGCGGUGAAUACGUUCCCGGGUCUUGCACACACCGCCGU